GAUGAACGUUGGCGGUGUGCCUAAUACAUGCAAGUCGAACGGAGCUAAUAGCAAUAUUGGCUUAGUGGCGAACGGGUGAGUAACGCGUUGGUGAUCUGCCUUGAAGUGUGGAAUAACGUUCCGAAAGGAUCGCUAAUACCGCAUGUGCUCUCGAUUUUCAGAAAGUUGAGAGUAAAGGAUUUAUUCGCUUCAAGAGGAGCCUGCGUCCCAUCAGCUGGUUGGUAGGGUAACGGCCUACCAAGGCUAUGACGGGUAGGGGACCUGAGAGAGUGGCCCCCCACAAUGGAACUGAAACACGGUCCAUACACCUACGGGUGGCAGCAGUAGGGAAUAUUAGAAAUGGACGAAAGUCUGAUCUAGCAACACCGCGUGUGCGAAGAAGGCCUUCGGGUCGUAAAGUUCUUUUAUAUGGGAUGAGGAAGGACAGUACCAUAUGAAUAAGUCUCGGCUAACUACGUG
This 459-nucleotide ribosomal RNA is filed under the name uncultured bacterium. RNAcentral describes it as "bacterial SSU rRNA". It matches the Rfam family "Bacterial small subunit ribosomal RNA", at positions 28 to 507 of the family's 1533-position model. The record is from RNAcentral.